GACGAACGCUGGCGGCGUGCCUAAUACAUGCAAGUAGAACGCUGAAGAGAGGAGCUUACUCUUCUUGGAUGAGUUGCGCACGGGUGAGUAACGCGUAGGUAACCUGCCUUGUAGCGGGGGAUAACUAUUGGAAACGAUAGCUAAUACCGCAUAACAAUGGAUGACACAUGUCAUUUAUUUGAAAGGGGCAAUUGCUCCACUACAAGAUGGACCUGCGUUGUCUUAGCUAGUAGGUGAGGUAAUGGCUCACCUAGGCGACGAUACAUAGCCGACCUGAGAGGGUGAGCGGCCACACUGGGACUGAGACACGGCACAGACUCCUACGGGAGGCAGCAGUAGGGAAUCUUCGGCAAGGGGGGCAACCCUGACCGAGAAACGCCGCGUGAGGGAAGAAGGGUGUCGGAUCGGAAAGCUCGGUUGUAAGUCAAGAACGGGUGUGAGAGUGGAAAGUUCACACUGUGACGGUAGCUUACCAGAAAGGGACGGCUAACUACGUG
This 497-nucleotide ribosomal RNA is filed under the name uncultured bacterium. Its description in RNAcentral is "partial 16S ribosomal RNA". It matches the Rfam family "Bacterial small subunit ribosomal RNA", at positions 28 to 507 of the family's 1533-position model. The record is from RNAcentral.